This 253-nucleotide ribosomal RNA is filed under the name uncultured prokaryote. RNAcentral's name for it is "partial 16S ribosomal RNA". It matches the Rfam family "Bacterial small subunit ribosomal RNA", at positions 525 to 777 of the family's 1533-position model. The record is from RNAcentral.
ACGUAGGUGGCAAGCGUUGUUCGGAAUUAUUGGGCGUAAAGGGCGCGUAGGUGGCUUGUUAAGCGUGUGGUGAAAGCCUGGGGCUCAACCCCAGGUCUGCCGUGCGAACUGGCAAGCUUGAGCGUAGUAGAGGCAGGUGGAAUUUCGGGUGUAGCGGUGGAAUGCGUAGAUAUCCGAAAGAACACCGGUGGCGAAGGCGGCCUGCUGGGCUACUGCUGACCCUGAUGCGCGACAGCGUGGGGAGCAAACAGGA